GGAGGCAGCAGUGGGGAAUUUUCCGCAAUGGGCGCAAGCCUGACGGAGCAACGCCGCGUGGGGGAGGAAGGUUUUUGGACUGUAAACCCCUUUUCUCAGGGAAGAAGAAAGUGACGGUACCUGAGGAAUAAGCCUCGGCUAAUUCCGUGCCAGCAGCCGCGGUAAUACGGGAGAGGCAAGCGUUAUCCGGAAUUAUUGGGCGUAAAGCGUCCGCAGGCGGUUAAUCAAGUCUGUUGUCAAAGCGUGGGGCUCAACCUCAUACAGGCAAUGGAAACUGAUUGACUAGAGUAUGGUAGGGGUAGCGGGAAUUCCAGGUGUAGCGGUGAAAUGCGUAGAUAUCUGGAAGAACACCAGCGGCGAAAGCGCGCUACUGGGCCAUAACUGACGCUCAUGGACGAAAGCUAGGGGAGCGAAAGGGAUUAGAUACCCCUGUAGUCCUAGCCGUAAACGAUGAACACUAGGUGUG
This 466-nucleotide ribosomal RNA is filed under the name Synechococcus leopoliensis. RNAcentral's name for it is "bacterial SSU rRNA". It matches the Rfam family "Bacterial small subunit ribosomal RNA", at positions 344 to 824 of the family's 1533-position model. The record is from RNAcentral. Lineage: Bacteria; Bacillati; Cyanobacteriota; Cyanophyceae; Synechococcales; Synechococcaceae.